RNAcentral lists this long non-coding RNA (1523 nucleotides) under Pan troglodytes (chimpanzee). Its description in RNAcentral is "lincRNA". The record is from RNAcentral. Lineage: Eukaryota; Metazoa; Chordata; Mammalia; Primates; Hominidae.
GCCGAGAUCCUGCCAUUCAUUGCACUCCAGCCUCGGAAACUAGCAAAACUCCAUCUUAAAAAAAAAGAGGAGGCCGGGUGCAGUGGCUCUGCACAACACUUUGGGAGGCCGAGGCAGGUGGAUCACCUGAGGUCAGAAAUCCGAGACCAGCCUGGCCAACAUGGUGGAACCCCAUCUCUACUAAAAAUGCAAGAAGUAGCCGGGCGUGGUGGCGGGCCCCAGUAAUCCCAGCUGAGGUGGGAGAAUUGCUUGAACCCGGGAGGCCAAGGCUGCAGUGAGCCAAGAUCGCACCACUGCACUCUAGCCUGGGUGACAGAUCAAGACCUUGUCUCAAAAAACAAGAAGAAGAAAAACUACUUUUUUUUUUUUCAGAUGGGGUCUCACUCUCACCCAGUCUGGAGUGCAGUGGCGCCAUCUCAGCUCAUUGCAGCCUCUGCCUCCUGGGCUUGAGUGAUCUUCCCACCUCGACCUUCUGAGUAGCUGGACCACAAGUGCAUGCCUGGCCAAUUUUUGUAUUUUUGGUAGAAACGGAGUUUCACCAUGUUGCCCAGGCUGGUCUCAAAACUGGCCUCCCAAAGUGCUGGGACAGACACAACUGGCCUACCUGCAGGAUUUUCAGUUUAUGGACAUGACUGAGUGGAGACAUGGAGAAGCUGUUGUUAUUGGAGAUUUUUAUUACUCGCAUUUCCUGAGCGAUGGGGACACUCACUGUGGGGAAAAGCAAGAGAGAUUCUGAUCUGUUACUGUGUCUGUGUAGAAAGAAGUAGACAUAGGAGACUCCAUUUUGUUCUGUACUAAGAAAAAUUCUUCUGCCUUGAGAUUCUGUUAAUCUAUAACCUUACCCCCAACCCCGUGCUCUCUGAAACAUGUGCUGUGUCCACUCAGGGUUAAAUGGAUUAAGGGCGGUGCAAGAUAUGCUUUGUUAAACAGAUGCUUGAAGGCAGCACGCUCCUUAAGAGUCAUCACCACUCCCUAAUCUCAAGUACCCAGGGACACAGAAACUGCGGAAGGCCACAGGGUCCUCUGCCUAGGAAAGCCAGGUAUUGUCCAAGGUUUCUCCCCAUGUGAUAGUCUGAAAUAUGGCCUCGUGGGAAGGGAAAGACCUGACCGUCCCCCAGCCCGACACCUGUAAAGGGUCUGUGUCGAGGACGAUUAGUAAAAGAGGAAGGCAUGCCUCUUGCAGUUGAGACAAGAGGAAGGCAUCUGUCUCCUGCCUGUCCCUGGGCAAUGGAAUGUCUCGGUAUAAAACCCGAUUGUACGUUCCAUCUACUGAGAUAGGGAAAAACCGCCUUAGGGCUGGAGGUUGGACCUGCAGGCAGCAACACUGCUUUGUAAAGCAUUGAGAUGUUUAUGUGUAUGCAUAUCUAAAGCACAGCACUUAAUCCUUUACCUUGUCUAUGAUGCAAAGACCUUUGUUCACGUGUUUGUCUGCUGACCCUCUCCCCACUAUUGUCUUGUGACCCUGACACAUCCCCCUCUCGGAGACACACCCACGAAUGAUCAAUAAAUACUAAGGGAACUCA